This is a long non-coding RNA of Gallus gallus (chicken), 473 nucleotides long. The record is from Ensembl. Lineage: Eukaryota; Metazoa; Chordata; Aves; Galliformes; Phasianidae.
CUGGAACACAGCAAAGGAGAGCUUGCUAAUCAUUCCUGCCAACAUGUAGAGGACAGGGGGCCCAACACAGAAACAGUUUCAUUCCCAUCAAAUCUCCAUGAAAUGAGAAAGUGGGUUCUUCAAAAAACCUUUCUCAUUUCACAAAUGUGUAGUAUUUUCCAUCUUCUCUUUCUGGACUUGCAGAACUCCUAACAGAACACUAUUUCAAGAGUCGAGAGAGGGAGAUAACACUUCUCAUCUACGGCUUCCAAGGGUCCCUUUCAUUAUCUACAGAAAUAAGCCUCUGCAUGACAGAAGAGGACUUGUUAACAUUACUGAGAGCUGCUUUAACUACCGAACCGACUCAAACCUCGUAGGACUAGGAUGCAUUUGAUAUGCCUGACUUCUCUGCAGCAAACAGUUUGCAGUGAGCAAUACAGCACAGACCUUCUACCAGCAGGGACUAGCCACAACUGAGGAGCUUCAAAGACAAC